GGUAGUGUGACCGAGCAGUCCAAGGCGCUGUAUUAAGGUUUCAGAGGCGUGGGUUCAAAUCCCACCACUGCCA
This 73-nucleotide transfer RNA is filed under the name Merluccius polli (Benguela hake). Its description in RNAcentral is "tRNA-Leu". It matches the Rfam family "tRNA". Rfam says of the family: Transfer RNA (tRNA) molecules are approximately 80 nucleotides in length. Their secondary structure includes four short double-helical elements and three loops (D, anti-codon, and T loops). Further hydrogen bonds mediate the characteristic L-shaped molecular structure. tRNAs have two regions of fundamental functional importance: the anti-codon, which is responsible for specific mRNA codon recognition, and the 3' end, to which the tRNAs corresponding amino acid is attached (by aminoacyl-tRNA synthetases). tRNAs cope with the degeneracy of the genetic code in two manners: having more than one tRNA (with a specific anti-codon) for a particular amino acid; and 'wobble' base-pairing, i.e. permitting non-standard base-pairing at the 3rd anti-codon position. Lineage: Eukaryota; Metazoa; Chordata; Actinopteri; Gadiformes; Merlucciidae. The record is from RNAcentral.